CGUAGUGGCGCACGGGUGCGUAACGCGUGGGAAUCUGCCCCUUGGUACGGAAUAACUCAGGGAAACUUGAGCUAAUACCGUAUGAUGUCUUCGGACCAAAGAUUUAUCGCCUAGGGAUGAGCCCGCGUUGGAUUAGCUAGUUGGUGGGGUAAAGGCCUACCAAGGCGACGAUCCAUAGCUGGUCUGAGAGGAUGAUCAGCCACACUGGGACUGAGACACGGCCCAG
This 226-nucleotide ribosomal RNA is filed under the name uncultured bacterium. Its description in RNAcentral is "partial 16S ribosomal RNA". It matches the Rfam family "Bacterial small subunit ribosomal RNA", at positions 91 to 334 of the family's 1533-position model. The record is from RNAcentral.